UACGUAGGUGACAAGCGUUGUCCGGAUUUACUGGGCGUAAAGAGUGCGUAGGCGGUCCUGUAAGUUUGGUGUGAAAUCUCCCGGCUCAACUGGGAGGGUGCGCCGAAGACUGCAGGGCUUGAGUAUGGGAGAGGUAAGCGGAAUUCCUGGUGUAGCGGUGAAAUGCGUAGAUAUCAGGAGGAACACCUGUGGUGUAGACAGCUUACUGGACCAUAACUGACGCUGAGGCACGAAAGCGUGGGUAGCAAACAGG
Molecule: ribosomal RNA, 253 nt
Filed under: uncultured bacterium
Lineage: Bacteria
Description: partial 16S ribosomal RNA
Rfam family: Bacterial small subunit ribosomal RNA
Source: RNAcentral